GCCGAAGUGGCGUAAUUGGUAAACGCGCUGCGUUCAGGACGCAGUGAGGGCAACCUCGUAAGGGUUCAACUCCCUUCUUCGGCACCA
Molecule: transfer RNA, 87 nt
Filed under: Candidatus Nomurabacteria bacterium RBG_16_40_11
Lineage: Bacteria; Candidatus Nomuraibacteriota
Also listed under: 8 other names
Description: tRNA-Leu
Rfam family: tRNA
About the family: Transfer RNA (tRNA) molecules are approximately 80 nucleotides in length. Their secondary structure includes four short double-helical elements and three loops (D, anti-codon, and T loops).
Source: RNAcentral